Molecule: ribosomal RNA, 425 nt
Filed under: uncultured bacterium
Lineage: Bacteria
Description: partial 16S ribosomal RNA
Rfam family: Bacterial small subunit ribosomal RNA
Source: RNAcentral
GUGGGGAAUCUUGCGCAAUGGGCGAAAGCCUGACGCAGCCAUGCCGCGUGAAUGAUGAAGGUCUUAGGAUUGUAAAAUUCUUUCACCGGGGACGAUAAUGACGGUACCCGGAGAAGAAGCUCCGGCUAACUUCGUGCCAGCAGCCGCGGUAAUACGAAGGGGGCUAGCGUUGCUCGGAAUUACUGGGCGUAAAGGGCGCGUAGGCGGACAGCUUAGUCAGAGGUGAAAGCCCAGGGCUCAACCUUGGAAUUGCCUUUGAUACUGGCUGUCUUGAGUUUGGGAGAGGUGAGUGGAACUCCGAGUGUAGAGGUGAAAUUCGUUGAUAUUCGGAAGAACACCAGUGGCGAAGGCGACUCACUGGCCCAAUACUGACGCUGAGGCGCGAAAGCGUGGGGAGCAAACAGGAUUAGAAACCCGGGUAGUCC